RNAcentral lists this ribosomal RNA (460 nucleotides) under uncultured bacterium. RNAcentral describes it as "partial 16S ribosomal RNA". It matches the Rfam family "Bacterial small subunit ribosomal RNA", at positions 338 to 795 of the family's 1533-position model. The record is from RNAcentral.
CCUACGGGGGGCAGCAGUGAGGAAUAUUGGUCAAUGGACGAGAGUCUGAACCAGCCAAGUAGCGUGAAGGAUGACUGCCCUAUGGGUUGUAAACUUCUUUUAUAUGGGAAUAAAACGUUCCACGUGUGGGAUUUUGUAUGUACCAUAUGAAUAAGGAUCGGCUAACUCCGUGCCAGCAGCCGCGGUAAUACGGAGGAUCCGAGCGUUAUCCGGAUUUAUUGGGUUUAAAGGGAGCGUAGGUGGAUUGUUAAGUCAGUUGUGAAAGUUUGCGGCUCAACCGUAAAAUUGCAGUUGAAACUGGCAGUCUUGAGUACAGUAGAGGUGGGCGGAAUUCGUGGUGUAGCGGUGAAAUGCUUAGAUAUCACGAAGAACUCCGAUUGCGAAGGCAGUUCACUGGACUGCAACUGACACUGAGGCUCGAAAGUGUGGGUAUCAAACAGGAUUAGAGACCCCUGUAGUC